CGAAAUACUUUUCUCAAACUGUGUGAAGAACUCCGUGGAAUAAACAUUUUCAAAACAACAUGGUUACCUGUCUGCAUAUUUUUUUUUUCUAUCUAGAGCAUGAGAUAAAUGCAUUGUCAUUAAGCUGAGCAAUAUUAUCAGUGUUUAAAAACUAUACAGCAACAUUUUGUGAUGCUAUAAGGUCCGUUACAGCACAGGUCCGUUUGAGCUCCGUUUUACGACAGCGCCAAAAGUGCCAAAUGAACGUUGGGUCUCGCUUGACUGUCGUCUUGCAGAUACGGUCCACAUCCGUACUACGGACUUCAGCCAGAAGCGCCAAAAAAGAAUAAAAAAUACCAUCAAACCAAGCUGUCAACGGAGAUUUAUCUGACCAGCUAGGCUACCACACAUGCUGAAAACAUGAUGCAAACUGUUGAGACGAAGGAAACACCUGCAGCCACACUUCCUCCCAGAGAUAUUGGGUCUCCAACAGAUGAUGUUGCAGAACCUGAAAAUGAAAUCAUGGAAGAAAAUCUUGGAUUAGAUCCAAUGGCAGCUGUUGUGUCUGACCCAGAGGAUAGAUCUUAUUAUCAAGAUGAUAGUGAUGUAGAAGAAAUAUCUGACUGGGAGGAACCAGAAAAACUCAGAAAUCGCCUUUCCAACUGGGCAUUAACAUAUGGUAUUUCCCAUAUUGCACUUUCGGCUCUCUUGGCAAUAUUAACGGUCCACCACUGUGACUUGCCAAAAGAUGCACGAACUCUUCUUAACACAAGAAGAGAUUAUUCUGUUAGGGAGCUCUGCGGUGGACUAUACCACUACAUUGGCAUUAUUGAGGCGUUAAAACAUACCCUUUCCCAGUGGAAAGACAAGCUUGUCGAUGGAUGUUGUUUACAUCUUCAGAUGUCAGUGGAUGGCCUGCCACUUUUUUUAAAAGUUCAGGUCUUCAGUUGUGGCCCAUUUUAGGUAGAUUGGUGGGAGUACCCAUGAAAGAACCUGUAGUCAUCGGGAUGUACUCAGGUAUAAAGAAACCUGAGUCAUCAAAAAUGUAUCUCACAGAUUUGGCAAAUGAACUCUCACAAUUACAGGAGGGGUUUACAUUUGAGGGGAAAAGGCUCACUUUAAAAGCUCAUUCGAUGAUCUGUGACGCACCGGCAAAAUCCUUUGUGAAAGUCACAAAGGCUUUUAACGGUUACUAUGGCUGUGACAAGUGUAUUCAGAGUGGGGUGUACCUCAAUCACCGCAUGUCAUACCCCCUCAUGAAUAGCCAAACACGGUCUGAUGAGGCAUUUGCCAGGCAGGAGGAUGAGGAACACCACCAUGGUCCUCAUGCCUUCACAAAUGUAGAUUUUGGUUUGGUGUCCCAAGUCCCACUGGACUACAUGCACCUGGUGUGCUUGGGGGUGGUAAGGCGCCUUAUCUUUCUGUGGAUGAAAGGUCCUCUGACUGUCCGUUUACCAGGGAGAGACGUGGACAGAAUAUCCAGAAAUCUUCUAAGCUUAAGACCCCACAUUCCUUCGGAAUUUGCUACAAGGCCAAGAGCACUGAACAAAGUGGAUAGGUGGAAGGCGACGGAGUUCCGUCAGUUUCUCUUAUACACAGGGCCGGUGGUGUUGCGUGAGGUGUUAAGUCCUGAUCUAUAUGCAAACGUCCUGCUGCUGUCGACAGCCAUGGCAAUGCUGGUCUCCCCUUUCUUUGCCAGAAAGUACAACGAAUAUGCCAACAGCCUCCUUCAUGCUUUUGUGGAACAUUUUGCCCGCCUGUAUGGAAAUGAUCAGCUAGUGUACAAUGUGCAUGGGUUGACCCAUCUUGCACAGGAUGCAAAACAUUUUGGCAAUCUGGAUGUUAUAUCAUCCUUUCCAUACGAAAAUUAUUUGCAAAAACUCAAGGGUUUUGUACGCAAACCCUCAAAUCCCCUGGCCCAAAUAAUUAGACGCCUGUCUGAGGGAUUAAAUGGUGGUGUUACAAGUGACCAGCCCAUCAAAUUGUGCAAAGAACAUGCCCGAGGCCCUAUACCAGUACCAAACUUGAUCUGUCACCAGUAUGACGAACUGAUAUCAGAGAGGUUCACCAUGACCACAACAUGUCGAAACAACACAUUUCUUAUGGGCAAAAAUGUGUGUCAGAUAAUUAAUAUAAUUGACUGUCACGGUGAUAUCAUAAUUGCCUACAGACAGUACGGGAUGGUUGAAACAUUUUUUACCUAUCCUUUUAAUUCUGACAUUUUAAACAUUGUGAUACCAGCUGACCUAGGCCAUGAGAUAAAAUUCUCCAAACUGUCAUCUUUCACACAAAAAUGCAUGGCUGUCCCUUUCAAUGAGGCAAUGGUGGUUAUACCGUUGUUUCAUAUGAAGGACUAGACUUUAGUUUUGAAAAUCAUAGUUCAGUUCAGUUCAGUUAUGUAUUUUUUUUAAUCAUCUUAUUUUUUACACAAUUAUUUUUAAAAGACAUUUUGUGGAGUAAUUUUCCUCGACGAGGACGUUACAGAAGUUGUGCCGAGGUCAUGGGUUAAAGGUGAUGAAUGUUUUUGGCCAACAUUCAUUUCCAAGGAAAAAACCCAAAAGGCCAUAAAGAGGCAUGAAAUGCCAGGCCUUGGCUGGAAAAUCUCAAAACAAGAACACUCUUUGAAAAAGUAGAUGACUUCAGUAAGACAAGGCAAAAGCUGAAGGACUACAACAGAAAUGGAACGGCAGUCCUCCAGUCAGAGGAUGAGGGCUCCAUGGCAAAAAGGAGAAGAAAAGCGACACAUUACCCAGGAUUUGAAAACGGCAGUACUGACUCUGAAACUGAGCAGACUCCAAAAAGAAGACCAGAGUCUCGGCCUCGGCCUCGGCCUCAACCUCUCCCUAUUAGCGCUACCCUUCCUAGUCUCCCUCCAGCCCCCCUCUCGGACAUCGCAGUGGACAUGGGUCAGGAGUCUCUGGACAACACAGGACAGGGAACCUAUACAGACAUAAGCUGGAAUGUGAGGAGGGAGUCAGACCCCUUCAAUGCCAGCGGUGGUGGCGAGCCUGGAGGUCACCUCCUCUUCAAGCCAACCUUCAGAGUUGGCCAUGAAACAGGGCCAAUUCCUUGCACACCGGCUCAGCUACAUGGCCUAUUGCUUUUGGAAAACCUAAAGCAGCAGGUUGCCCAACUCACCACCACCGUGAACCUGCUCAUGGCCAAGGUCAAUAACGGCCUCCAACCAGCAGCCUUUGAGUGGUCCGGGGAAUUUCAAUUCCCCCUGGAAUCAGAUCCAGAGCUGGACCGCUUUGAGGCCUGGCUGGCGGACCCUGCCAACGAUAGGCAGAAACAUGCCCUUGGGAAUACCCUGUCUGCGGUCGGGGGUGUGGAUUUGAAGAGGGUGACAUGGAACAUUUUGUCAUACCUGUUUUCCUGCCCCCUUUCCUGAACAAUUAAUUGGAAGGGUGUGAACAAGAAGAGGGCCUUCCACAGGAUGGCAUCACGGACCCUCCUCAGCCGUGCAGUGGGCAAAUGCGCACUGACAGCAACUGCAACAGAAGCUGAAAUAUGGAGGCAUGCUAUAAGGUGGUUUGCCCUUUCGGCGGACAGGAGAGGAGGGCGCCAGGAGAUACUGGCGCGUCAGCAGCAGGAGCAGCAACAGCAACAGCUGCCACAGCACCCAGCUAGUGAUUUUGUUUAAGUGCAUGUUUUUUUAUUCACGUUGUGUUUAUAGCCUGUGCGUUUUUUUAUCCAUUAAUUCUGUGUUUGUUGUUGAGUGUGUUUUGUGUUAAUUGUUGACUUUGUUCAUGACUUUGUUGUUCAUUUUUUAUAAUUAAAUCUAUGUAUUCGUGGUCAUUAAUUCUGUGUUUGUUAACUUUGUUCACGUUGUUUUAGUAUGCGUUUUAAUCAUUAAAACGAUUUAUUUCAGCUAUAGCCUAUAGGCCUACGCAUUGCUCCAACUGAAACUAGCCUUUAUCAAGUCAAGUCAAGCUUUUUAUUUAUAGCCAAGGCCUUGUAGUGAAAAUGUUUUUCUGGACAUUUUCACAGUCUGUGAAAAUGUAGGCCUAUGCCGGUAGCAUAGGUUACUAUGAUACCCUAACUGACAAAAAUGCCGAAAAUAAGGCAAAAGGACAAUCCAGUGGUGAUUUAAGCGGAUUCGUAACACAUCCGGCACAGCUCCGGUAGGCGGAAUCGUUUCACGCACCCGUUACGCAUGUGUAACAGGAUGAUCAGGCGGUGCUGGAUCGGCGCUGGCACAUAUCCGCAACAACCCCUAAAAACAGACCAGAAACGGCUUCGGCCCGAUGUGCGUUUGGACUCAGGAACGAGUCCGUGAGGCGGAUGCGGGCCAGACCCGGCUCUAUCGUUUUGCGGUUGCGGCCCUGUUCCGUUACAGCGUCCAGUGGCUAUCUGGG
Cyprinus carpio carpio is the source of this 4337-nucleotide long non-coding RNA. The record is from Ensembl. Lineage: Eukaryota; Metazoa; Chordata; Actinopteri; Cypriniformes; Cyprinidae.